RNAcentral lists this ribosomal RNA (447 nucleotides) under uncultured bacterium. RNAcentral describes it as "partial 16S ribosomal RNA". It matches the Rfam family "Bacterial small subunit ribosomal RNA", at positions 29 to 523 of the family's 1533-position model. The record is from RNAcentral.
AGCGAACGCUGGCGGCAGGCCUAACACAUGCGAGUCGAGCGCCCAGCAAUGGGAGCGGCAGACGGGUGAGUAACGCGUGGGGAUGUGCCCAAUGGUGCGGAAUAACCCAGGGAAACUUGGAUUAAUACCGCAUGUGCCCUUCGGGGGAAAGAUUUAUCGCCAUUGGAACAACCCGCGUCUGAUUAGCUAGUUGGUGAGGUAAAGGCUCACCAAGGCGACGAUCAGUAGCUGGUCUGAGAGGAUGAUCAGCCACACUGGGACUGAGACACGGCCCAGACUCCUACGGGAGGCAGCAGUGGGGAAUAUUGGACAAUGGGCGCAAGCCUGAUCCAGCCAUGCCGCGUGAGUGAUGAAGGCCUUAGGGUUGUAAAGCUCUUUCGCCGGUGAAGAUAAUGACGGUAACCGGAGAAGAAGCCCCGGCUAACUUCGUGCCAGCAGCCGCCGUAA